CCCGCUGAACUUAAGCAUAUCAAUAAGCGGAGGAAAAGAAACCAACAGGGAUUACCCUAGUAACGGCGAGUGAAGCGGUAACAGCUCAAAUUUGAAAUCUGACCUUCACGGGUCCGAGUUGUAAUUUGUAGAGGAAGUUUCGGAUAAGGCUCUGGCUUAAGUUUCUUGGAACAGAACGUCAUAGAGGGUGAGAGUCCCGUCUAGAGCCGAUAGCCGCAUCCAUGUGAAACUCCUUCGACGAGUCGAGUUGUUUGGGAAUGCAGCUCAAAAUGGGUGGUAAAUUUCAUCUAAAGCUAAAUAUUGGCCAGAGACCGAUAGCGCACAAGUAGAGUGAUCGAAAGAUGAAAAGCACUUUGAAAAGAGAGUUAAACAGUAUGUGAAAUUGUUGAAAGGGAAGCGCUUGCAACCAGACUUGUGUUUAAUGGUUCCCCCGAUCUUCUGACCGGGCUACUCCAUUAUAUCCAGGCCAGCAUCGGUUCGGGUGGUCGGUAAAAGGCUCUGGGAAUGUAUCUACCUUCGGGUCGACUUAUAGCCUAGGGUGUAAUGCGGCCUACCUGGACCGAGGAACGCGCUUUUGCUCGGAUGCUGGCGUAAUGGUUGUAAGCGGCCCGUCUUGAAACACGG
This 624-nucleotide ribosomal RNA is filed under the name uncultured fungus. RNAcentral describes it as "eukaryotic LSU rRNA". It matches the Rfam family "Eukaryotic large subunit ribosomal RNA", at positions 24 to 664 of the family's 3401-position model. Lineage: Eukaryota; Fungi. The record is from RNAcentral.